RNAcentral lists this ribosomal RNA (253 nucleotides) under uncultured bacterium. RNAcentral describes it as "partial 16S ribosomal RNA". It matches the Rfam family "Bacterial small subunit ribosomal RNA", at positions 524 to 776 of the family's 1533-position model. The record is from RNAcentral.
GACGAACCUUGCUAACGUUAUUCGGAAUCACUGGGCUUAAAGGGUGCGUAGGCUGUGCAGAAAGUUGGGUGUGAAAUCCCUCGGCUUAACCGAGGAACUGCGCCCACAACUACUGUGCUUGAGGGAGAUAGAGGUGAGCGGAACUGAGGGUGGAGCGGUGAAAUGCGUUGAUAUCCUCAGGAACACCCGUGGCGAAAGCGGCUCACUGGGUCUCUUCUGACGCUGAGGCACGAAAGCUAGGGGAGCAAACGGG